UGCCACAGCCACAUCACCCUGCAGCCCAAGAUCGGUUACUCACUGAAGCUAAGCAGGGCUGAGCCAGGUCAGUACCUGGAUGGGAGACCACUAGGGAACACUAGGUUGCUGUUGGAA
RNAcentral lists this ribosomal RNA (117 nucleotides) under Danio rerio (zebrafish). Lineage: Eukaryota; Metazoa; Chordata; Actinopteri; Cypriniformes; Danionidae. The record is from RNAcentral.